RNAcentral lists this ribosomal RNA (492 nucleotides) under uncultured bacterium. RNAcentral's name for it is "partial 16S ribosomal RNA". It matches the Rfam family "Bacterial small subunit ribosomal RNA", at positions 29 to 507 of the family's 1533-position model. The record is from RNAcentral.
AGUGAACGCUGGCGGUAGGCCUAACACAUGCAAGUCGAACGGCAGCACAGUAAGAGCUUGCUCUUACGGGUGGCGAGUGGCGGACGGGUGAGGAAUACAUCGGACUCUACUUUUUCGUGGAGGAUAACGUAGGGAAACUUACGCUAAUACCGCAUACGACGUACGGGUGAAAGCAGGGGAUCUUCGGACCUUGCGCGAUUGAAUGAGCCGCUGUCGGAUUAGCUAGUUGGCGGGGUAAAGGCCCACCAAGGCGACGAUCCGUAGCUGGUCUGAGAGGAUGAUCAGCCACACUGGAACGGGAACACGGUCCAGACUCCUACGGGAGGCAGCAGUGGGGAAUAUUGGACAAUGGGCGCAAGCCUGGUCCAGCCAUACCGCGUGGGUGAAGAAGGCCUUCGGGUUGUAAAGCCCUUUUGUUGGGAAAGAAAAGCAGCAGGUUAAUACCCCGCUGUUCUGACGGUACCCAAAGAAUAAGCACCGGCUAACUUCGUG